Molecule: ribosomal RNA, 253 nt
Filed under: uncultured bacterium
Lineage: Bacteria
Description: partial 16S ribosomal RNA
Rfam family: Bacterial small subunit ribosomal RNA
Source: RNAcentral
UACGUAGGGGGCUAGCGUUGUCCGGAAUCAUUGGGCGUAAAGCGCGUGUAGGCGGUUCGGUAAGUCUGCUGUGAAAGUCGGGGGCUCAACCCUCGGAUGCCGGUGGAUACUGCCGGGCUAGAGUACGGAAGAGGCGAGUGGAAUUCCUGGUGUAGCGGUGAAAUGCGCAGAUAUCAGGAGGAACACCAAUUGCGAAGGCAGCUCGCUGGGACGUUACUGACGCUGAGACGCGAAAGCUAGGGGAGCGAACAGG